Molecule: non-coding RNA, 2266 nt
Organism: Carica papaya (papaya)
Lineage: Eukaryota; Viridiplantae; Streptophyta; Magnoliopsida; Brassicales; Caricaceae
Source: RefSeq, a predicted model, not a curated record
UGGUUCUUCUAACAGUUGGAUCAAUUGCAGUUCUCUCCCCUCAUUCACCUCAAUUUCUCUCCUAUCUUCGUUGCUAUUUCCCCAAUCAUCUCCUCCAAACCCAAAAAUUUCCUCCACUUCCCUCACCAAACCUGCAGCUCUCCCCACCAUCUCCACCUCUUGAAGUGAAGGAAGUCGUCGAAGGAGCUUCAGCAACUCCUGAUAUCAAUUGCAGAAAACAAAAACGCUGAAUUCAUAAGUUGAGCGGGGGCUUUAGGGCAGGACAGUCUCCCUUUUAUCCACUUCUCUUCUCCUCCACAUCGGGCCAAAAAUUGCUUUUUUCCUCCUCCAGCUCCCCUAAGGGUACGAGGCCUGAGCUGAGGUCUUCUAGAGGUCCAACCUAUGCAUCAUUCACUACCCAUUUACCCUUUUCAGCCAACGGAAGUUUGCUGCCCACUUCAGUUACUUCAAUCGAACCUUCCCUCAGGUCCAUUCCGCUCUUUUUCAGUCCAACUUCCAUCUUAUCCCCGUCAACACGACAACAACAUUGUUGUUUCCACUACACCCAAAAUGACUACAUUUCGCUCCCUCCUGGGAGAUACCUUUUUGAAUUUGAAAAAACUCAGGUCCAGCAAUGGGUUCGAAUCUCCUCUCCUCCACCCGAUUUGUAGCUCUCUCUGCUUGCUUUAGGGCUUUGGCAAACGAAAUGCAUUCCAUUGGCUCCAGUUGCACCCCCAACUCCAUGCUGCAUCCCGGACAUCUAACCUUUGAUGGCAUUAUAUUGUGGUGGAUAACCAGUCUUUUUUCAACUAGAUCAUUCUUUUUCGUAGCCCAUUCUAGAGGCACCAACUUGACACCAAACACCUCAUGAAUCACCUCCAUCAUCUGCCACCAUCCAUCGGCCUUGUAUCCCUUUGGUAGAAAAAUCCUAUUAAUCCUCCCCCUUGGUCCCUCCUUCCCUUCGGAAAACACCAAAAAAUGCCCUCGUCUGUUACUACUCAAUGCCUUCCACCACGUCCUCUAGCUAUUGCUCUGACUCCUCUCCCAUGCCACCUCCCCUUUCACCCAUUUGAACUCCCUGAAUCAUUUCAUCAACCACUUCAACUCCUCCUUCUGAAAGAAGAUUGAUUUCCGAAAACCCUUACCCUUCUCAAAAAUCCUUAUCCCCUUUCCGUCCCCUACAACGUCAAAAGAUUUUUGCUCAACAAACAAGAAUCUCCUUAGCCCCACGACCAUGACCCAACCUUUGGAGUGGUGACGAUGGAAAACCACAACGCGAAGACGCUCACUCUCUCUAGACGCGACUCUAUGUUGUGAAAAUAAAGUACGAGAAAUUCAAGGAUUAUUGGUUUCAGAACUUGAGAUUUUUGUUAAGCGGUCGUCCACUAUAUUCUAACAUUGAUAUGAGGAAUCUAACUGAUAUUUUUCUCCUAUAUAUAUAUAUAUGUAUCUAAUAACUAAGAUAUAGGAACUGAAUGAAAAUAGAAUGUGUUUAGACCACAUGCAAGCCAGAGUAUGGAAUUUUGUAUUAGUCAUGAAAGGAGAAAAGGCUAAAUUCCAUGCCAUUUCCCUUUAAUUUCAUAACAUUUAGCUAUCUACCUGUUGCUCUCUAAUUUCAGGUGGCAGUGGCUCGUAGCUUCUGCAAAAGCAUUGAUGUUUAUGAUCAAGAUAUCCACCUCCGUGCCUUACGUACGCUCUCCUAUCCAUCUUCAUUGAACUUCAUACAGACUUUAGGCCAUGGGAAUGGAAGUUCCGUGCUGGCUGUUGCUGAGGGCUGUCAGCUGACUAUAUGGGACUUGAGAGUGAGAGAAAACGGUGGUUGCAUUCAGCGAAUUUGUGGUUCAGUUGGUGAUAUUAUCUAUUCAGUCUGCAGUUCUUUCACUGGUAAUAUUGCUGUAGGAGGAGCUGAUCGUACAGUAACAAUUUAUGAUCCUCGCAGAUGGUCAGCGCUGUCAAGGUGGAUAAACUGUUCAAAAUAUGAGGUUGGUUUGAGUUUUCAAUGGUGGUUUCCUCUAUAUCAAACUGUAUGUUCAUGCUUAUUUUGUUGUUCAUUUGGUGCUUCAUAUUCAACUCUUUGUACAAUGAAAAGGACCCUUUGGAUCUCACCAUAGUUCUGCUGUUUCUUCAAAUACGCCGUUCUCCAUUAGCUCCUUGAGCACUAUCAUGCAGAAUUAGUUAACGAACUCAUGGUUGGAAAGUAUCUUUCUUCACUAAAUUAGAUUUGAACCAUGGAACCAAGCGAACCUGAUGAGCUUUUGGCUGAUAACAAAUAUUUGCUUGAAUCUGA